Long non-coding RNA from Hippocampus zosterae (dwarf seahorse), 859 nucleotides. RefSeq lists it as uncharacterized. NCBI's taxonomy places the organism in Eukaryota, Metazoa, Chordata, Actinopteri, Syngnathiformes, Syngnathidae. The transcript is spliced from 7 exons. The record is from RefSeq and is a predicted model, not a curated record.
UUUAGACUUUGGCUUCGGGAACGGCGAGGCGGCAAAGUCACCGGGAAACUGACAUUGAUUAGCGAGCAGCGGUGGCGUUGGCCUCGGCACCACCAGAUGGUCGCCGGUUCGACUUCCCUUCCAGCUCUCAAUGUCGCCUCAUCCUUCAGCACUAACGAGCCUACGUGGCGUUACCGCGCAUCACGCGAUGAAGCGAGAGGAAUCGAGGCGAGGCGGCACCGAGGCAGCGCGGCAUCCGAAGGGUUAAGGAGCGAAUUGCAAAGUUAAGGAGGAGCACAUGGCUGCCAGUUGACUUCACUCUGACCUGCCAUCGAUCGGCCCUCGGCCAGUUAGCCGGGGCCGCUCCGGUCGGCGUUAGGCCGUACAGAAGACACAAAGCACACAAAGGUAAAUGUGAUCUUUGGUCUUGGCGGUGCAUGCGUGCAGUUUAUCGGUCAUUCCGGCGGUUUACGAGCAGCCAUCCAGUGAGCAGCGACGCCAUGUCAUCCGGCGACACGGCGGUGAGACUUGCGCGGCAUUAUCGAGGCGGGCAGCCGGACGGAGGCAAACACCGACCACGCCAUCAAAGGCCGAGUGGCCCCGACUGGAAAAGGUCCCUGCGGCCGCCUUAUCUCCCGCAGCCACUUGGAGGCCGCGCCAGGCUGCAGCCGCUGGCCAAGCUCUGAUGUGAAGACAAGCCAGCUGUGCGCCAAGUGGAAAUGAAGAUUGGAGAUUAGUCGGCGACCUUCUCUGCCUCUUCUUGCUGUUCAGUACACGACAUCAAUCAAUGGUCGGCAUUGGUCAUGGAAGAGCGUUUUCGGAACCGAGCGUGUUGUUGAACGAAUCCAGAACGCCAGACUGAGAUGCUCUCGAAGACUAC